This 433-nucleotide ribosomal RNA is filed under the name uncultured bacterium. Its description in RNAcentral is "partial 16S ribosomal RNA". It matches the Rfam family "Bacterial small subunit ribosomal RNA", at positions 29 to 507 of the family's 1533-position model. The record is from RNAcentral.
AACGAACGCUGGCGGCAUGCCUAACACAUGCAAGUCGAACGAGACCUUCGGGUCUAGUGGCGCACGGGUGCGUAACGCGUGGGAACCUGCCCUUAGGUUCGGAAUAACUCCCCGAAAGGGGUGCUAAUACCGGAUAAUGUCUUCGGACCAAAGAUUUAUCGCCUUUGGAUGGGCCCGCGUUGGAUUAGCUAGUUGGUAGGGUAAAAGCCUACCAAGGCGACGAUCCAUAGCUGGUCUGAGAGGAUGAUCAGCCACACUGGGACUGAGACACGGCCCAGACUCCUACGGGAGGCAGCAGUGGGGAAUAUUGGACAAUGGGCGAAAGCCUGAUCCAGCAAUGCCGAGUGAGUGAUGAAGGCCUUAGGGUUGUAAAGCUCUUUUACCCGGGAUGAUAAUGACAGUACCGGGAGAAUAAGCGCCGGCUAACUCCGUG